UACGGAGGGUGCAAGCGUUAAUCGGAAUUACUGGGCGUAAAGCGCGCGUAGGCGGCUUUGUAAGUCGGAUGUGAAAGCCCUGGGCUUAACCUGGGAAUUGCAUUCGAUACUGCUUAGCUAGAGUAUGGUAGAGGGAAGUGGAAUUUCCGGUGUAGCGGUGAAAUGCGUAGAUAUCGGAAGGAACACCAGUGGCGAAGGCGACUUCCUGGGCCAAUACUGACGCUGAGGUGCGAAAGCGUGGGGAGCAAACAGGAUUAGAAACCCCCGUAGUCC
This 273-nucleotide ribosomal RNA is filed under the name uncultured bacterium. RNAcentral describes it as "partial 16S ribosomal RNA". It matches the Rfam family "Bacterial small subunit ribosomal RNA", at positions 524 to 796 of the family's 1533-position model. The record is from RNAcentral.